This 460-nucleotide ribosomal RNA is filed under the name uncultured bacterium. RNAcentral describes it as "partial 16S ribosomal RNA". It matches the Rfam family "Bacterial small subunit ribosomal RNA", at positions 338 to 795 of the family's 1533-position model. The record is from RNAcentral.
CCUACGGGAGGCAGCAGUGAGGAAUAUUGGUCAAUGGGCGUAAGCCUGAACCAGCCAAGUCGCGUGAGGGAUGAAGGUUCUAUGGAUCGUAAACCUCUUUUAUAAGGGAAUAAAGUGUGGGACGUGUCCUGUUUUGUAUGUACCUUAUGAAUAAGGAUCGGCUAACUCCGUGCCAGCAGCCGCGGUAAUACGGAGGAUCCGAGCGUUAUCCGGAUUUAUUGGGUUUAAAGGGUGCGUAGGCGGCCUUUUAAGUCAGCGGUGAAAGUCUGUGGCUCAACCAUAGAAUUGCCGUUGAAACUGGGAGGCUUGAGUAUGUUUGAGGCAGGCGGAAUGCGGGGUGUAGCGGUGAAAUGCUUAGAUAUCACGCAGAACCCCGAGUGCGAAGGCAGCCUGCCAAGCCAUGACUGACGCUGAUGCACGAAAGCGUGGGGAUCAAACAGGAUUAGAUACCCCAGUAGUC